CAGUAGCCGCGGGAAUACGAAGGGGGCUAGCGUUGUUCGGAUUUACUGGGCGUAAAGCGCACGUAGGCGGACUUUUAAGUCAGGGGUGAAAUCCCGGGGCUCAACCCCGGAACUGCCUUUGAUACUGGAAGUCUUGAGUAUGGUAGAGGUGAGUGGAAUUCCGAGUGUAGAGGUGAAAUUCGUAGAUAUUCGGAAGAACACCAGUGGCGAAGGCGGCUCACUGGACGACUGUUGACGCUGAGGUACGAAAGCGUGGGGAGCAAACAGGAUUAGAUACCCCAGUAGUCCCUGUCUCUUAUAC
RNAcentral lists this ribosomal RNA (301 nucleotides) under uncultured bacterium. RNAcentral's name for it is "partial 16S ribosomal RNA". It matches the Rfam family "Bacterial small subunit ribosomal RNA", at positions 509 to 807 of the family's 1533-position model. The record is from RNAcentral.